GUAAGGCAACAUAGGUCGUUUUUAACUUUUUAGAGGGACAUGUCCGGUUUACGGGCAGGAAGUUGGAGGCAAUAACAGGUCUGUGAUGCCCUUAGAUGUUUUGGGCCGCACGCGCGCUACACUGAUGGGUUCAUCGGGUUUUAAUUCUAAUUUUUGGAAUUGAGUGCUUGGUCGGAAGGCCUGGCUAAUCCUUGGAACGCUCAUCGUGCUGGGGCUAGAUUUUUGCAAUUAUUAAUCUCCAACGAGGAAUUCCUAGUAAACGCAAGUCAUCAGCUUGCAUUGAAUACGUCCCUGCCCUUUGUACACACCGCCCGUCGCACCUACCGAUUGAACGGUCCGAUGAAACCAUGGGAUGUUUCUGUUUGGAUUGAUUUUUGGACAGAGGCAGAACUCGGGUAAUCUAUU
This 405-nucleotide ribosomal RNA is filed under the name Aurantiochytrium sp. Its description in RNAcentral is "SSU rRNA". It matches the Rfam family "Eukaryotic small subunit ribosomal RNA", at positions 1382 to 1769 of the family's 1831-position model. The record is from RNAcentral. Lineage: Eukaryota; Bigyra; Thraustochytrida; Thraustochytriidae.